CAAUAGCGUAUAUUAAAGUUGUUGCGGUUAAAAAGCUCGUAGUUGGAUUUCUGCUGAGAACGACCGGUCCGCCCUUUGGGUGUGUAUCUGGCUCUUUCUUGGCAUCUUCUUGGUGAACGUUGCUGCACUUGACUGUGUGGAGCGCUACCCAGGACUUUUACUUUGAGGAAAUUAGAGUGUUUCAAGCAGGCAUACGCCUUGAAUACAUUAGCAUGGAAUAAUAAGAUAGGACUUUGGUGCUAUUUUGUUGGUUGAGCCUAAAGUAAUGAUUAAUAGGGAUAGUUGGGGGCACCUGUAUUGCGUUGUCAGAGGUGAAAUUCUUGGAUUUACGCAAGACAAACAGCUGCGAAAGCGUCUGCCAAGGAUGUUUUCAUUAA
RNAcentral lists this ribosomal RNA (377 nucleotides) under uncultured eukaryote. RNAcentral's name for it is "partial 18S ribosomal RNA". It matches the Rfam family "Eukaryotic small subunit ribosomal RNA", at positions 592 to 976 of the family's 1831-position model. The record is from RNAcentral.